This 82-nucleotide non-coding RNA is filed under the name unclassified sequences. The record is from Rfam.
AGAUAUUGAGGUGGUAAACAGGUGCAACCACACACCAGAUUGGUUAAAAGAGAUCCGGGGAAUGCGCCACCCGGCAAUAUCA